CAUGAACUUAGCUUGCUAAGUUUGAUGGCGACCGGCGCACGGGUGAGUAACACGUAUCCAACCUGCCGAUGACUCGGGGAUAACCUUGCGAAAGUAAGACUAAUACCCAAUGACGUCUCUAGAAGACAUCUGAAAGAGAUUAAAGAUUUAUCGGUGAUGGAUGGGGAUGCGUCUGAUUAGCUUGUUGGCGGGGUAACGGCCCACCAAGGCGACGAUCAGUAGGGGUUCUGAGAGGAAGGUCCCCACAUUGGAACUGAGACACGGUCCAAACUCC
Molecule: ribosomal RNA, 274 nt
Filed under: uncultured Prevotellaceae bacterium
Lineage: Bacteria; Pseudomonadati; Bacteroidota; Bacteroidia; Bacteroidales; Prevotellaceae
Description: partial 16S ribosomal RNA
Rfam family: Bacterial small subunit ribosomal RNA
Source: RNAcentral